AGAGUUUGAUCAUGGCUCAGAUUGAACGCUGGCGGCAGGCCUAACACAUGCAAGUCGAACGGUAACAGGAAGCAGCUUGCUGCUUCGCUGACGAGUGGCGGACGGGUGAGUAAUGUCUGGGAAGCUGCCUGAUGGAGGGGGAUAACUACUGGAAACGGUAGCUAAUACCGCAUAAUGUCGCAAGACCAAAGAGGGGGACCUUCGGGCCUCUUGCCAUCGGAUGUGCCCAGAUGGGAUUAGCUUGUUGGUGGGGUAACGGCUCACCAAGGCGACGAUCCCUAGCUGGUCUGAGAGGAUGACCAGCCACACUGGAACUGAGACACGGUCCAGACUCCUACGGGAGGCAGCAGUGGGGAAUAUUGCACAAUGGGCGCAAGCCUGAUGCAGCCAUGCCGCGUGUAUGAAGAAGGCCUUCGGGUUGUAAAGUACUUUCAGCGGGGAGGAAGGGAGUAAAGUUAAUACCUUUGCUCAUUGACGUUACCCGCAGAAGAAGCACCGGCUAACUCCGUGCCAGCAGCCGCGGUAAUACGGAGGGUGCAAGCGUUAAUCGGAAUUACUGGGCGUAAAGCGCACGCAGGCGGUUUGUUAAGUCAGAUGUGAAAUCCCCGGGCUCAACCUGGGAACUGCAUCUGAUACUGGCAAGCUUGAGUCUCGUAGAGGGGGGUAGAAUUCCAGGUGUAGCGGUGAAAUGCGUAGAGAUCUGGAGGAAUACCGGUGGCGAAGGCGGCCCCCUGGACGAAGACUGACGCUCAGGUGCGAAAGCGUGGGGAGCAAACAGGAUUAGAUACCCUGGUAGUCCACGCCGUAAACGAUGUCGACUUGGAGGUUGUGCCCUUGAGGCGUGGCUUCCGGAGCUAACGCGUUAAGUCGACCGCCUGGGGAGUACGGCCGCAAGGUUAAAACUCAAAUGAAUUGACGGGGGCCCGCACAAGCGGUGGAGCAUGUGGUUUAAUUCGAUGCAACGCGAAGAACCUUACCUGGUCUUGACAUCCACGGAAGUUUUCAGAGAUGAGAAUGUGCCUUCGGGAACCGUGAGACAGGUGCUGCAUGGCUGUCGUCAGCUCGUGUUGUGAAAUGUUGGGUUAAGUCCCGCAACGAGCGCAACCCUUAUCCUUUGUUGCCAGCGGUCCGGCCGGGAACUCAAAGGAGACUGCCAGUGAUAAACUGGAGGAAGGUGGGGAUGACGUCAAGUCAUCAUGGCCCUUACGACCAGGGCUACACACGUGCCACAAUGGCGCAUACAAAGAGAAGCGACCUCGCGAGAGCAAGCGGACCUCAUAAAGUGCGUCGUAGUCCGGAUUGGAGUCUGCAACUCGACUCCAUGAAGUCGGAAUCGCUAGUAAUCGUGGAUCAGAAUGCCACGGUGAAUACGUUCCCGGGCCUUGUACACACCGCCCGUCACACCAUGGGAGUGGGUUGCAAAAGAAGUAGGUAGCUUAACCUUCGGGAGGGCGCUUACCACUUUGUGAUUCAUGACUGGGGUGAAGUCGUAACAAGGUAACCGUAGGGGAACCUGCGGUUG
This 1522-nucleotide ribosomal RNA is filed under the name metagenome. Its description in RNAcentral is "bacterial SSU rRNA". It matches the Rfam family "Bacterial small subunit ribosomal RNA". The record is from RNAcentral.